AUCUUUGUUCUUCACAUGGCAUUUCUGGUUAAUCAAGGCAGCAGAGCGAGAUACAAGCUCAAUAUCGUUACCAUCCAAGAUUAACUCAUCCUUGACCUUCUCAGAUCGAACAAUAGAUACUCCAUCAAGCAUAUCUACUUUCCGAACCUUCUUCUCGCCCAGAAAAUUACGGAUCUCGAUGGACUUGUUCGCGUUUGUGAUACUAGCAUUUAUGGGAAAGUGUGCGUACACAAACCGCAUCUUAUACCGAUA
RNAcentral lists this unclassified non-coding RNA (252 nucleotides) under Hevea brasiliensis (rubber tree). Lineage: Eukaryota; Viridiplantae; Streptophyta; Magnoliopsida; Malpighiales; Euphorbiaceae. The record is from RNAcentral.